Molecule: long non-coding RNA, 3039 nt
Filed under: Ovis aries (sheep)
Lineage: Eukaryota; Metazoa; Chordata; Mammalia; Artiodactyla; Bovidae
Description: lncRNA (ENSOARG00000026565.1)
Source: RNAcentral
AUGACAAAAUCUCACAACCAUGUGCCUGUGUUCCUGAAUGGCAAUAAUCAAUUGGAGCUCGCUGGCUUACCCUGUUGCAUGGUUGCCUCUGUUUCCAGUUUACUACAGGCCCAAUCACCUCAUGUCCUUUCACACCACCACUUACUUCAUGUCACCUUCCCAUCUGCAUGGCUGCAAGCAACUUACGGAAGAAACUGUGUGCCUUCUUUCUUAUACUGUACAAUGCCUAACACAGAAUGUCGUACACGCAAUAUAUCUCAGUGCUCACUGGAGUGGAGCAGAAAACUGAGACAUCAUAAAGCAGAAAAGAUGAGAUGCCAGAAGGCUUCAAACUGCGGAAGACCAGAGAGAGAGAGAUGGAUGGACAACAAAGGCAAAAGUGAUUAUUUCAAUUUUCUGUCUGGGUUUGUACACCCAUAGACUAGAGUACCACCACCUAAAGUCUCUCCUCCCUAGUACUGUUCAUGAUUAAUCUGUUUCCUUCAUAUGGAAAAUCCAGAUGUAUUUGUUUCCUUUCUGGAUCAUCAGGUUGUAUAAAUGAACAAAUCUCUUAUUUCUAUAGAGAUUCCUAUGUCCUAAGGUGUGAUCCAAGAAGUUUCUGAAUCUAUGUGUGUGUGUGUGUGUGUGUGUUGUGUGCACACAUCUGUUCAUGUAAUUUCACUUUAAAUGGUAAAGUGUAGGUGGGACUUUGAAAACCUACUCAUGUUCUACAGAUAAUGGUUUGAAUACAAUUUUCUCCACAUGUGUUAUCAUUGUUUUCAAUCCUGAUAGUGAGACUGACUUAAACAUAAAACAAACCUACAAAUAAAAAAAAAUGCCCAAAUAACUUAUUUUAAAAUGAUCUAAGAGCAUAGACUGACAAUUUAUAGGAGAAGGACCCUAAAGGAUUAAUAACUAUAUCAACCAACCUCAUUAGUAAAUGGAAAAUUUACACUAAGCAUCAUGAUGCCCAAUAGAUUUAAAAGUCUGACAAUACCCAAUAUUGUUAAAAUGUAGGAAAAAUCAUAGUUUAAUACUGAGUGGAAGUGAAAAUUCUUACAACAAAUUUUGGAGACUUGAUUUUUGCAAUAUCUGGUAAAACUGAGUAUUUUCACCUCUUCAGUUCAGUUCAGUCACUCAGUCAUGUCCGACUCUUUGCAACCCCAUGAAUCCCAGCACGCCAGGCAUCCUUGUCCAUCACCAACUCCCAGAGUUCACUCAAACUAAUGUCCAUUGAGUUGGUGAUGCCAUCCAGCCAUCUCAUCCUCUGUCGUCCCUUUCUCCUCCUGCCCCCAAUCCCUCCCAGCAUGAGUCUUUUCCAGUGAGGCAACUCUUCGCAUGAGGUGGCCAAAGUAAUGGAGUUUCAGCUUUAGCAUCAUUCCUUCCAAAGAAAUCCCAGGGUUGAUCUCCUUCAGAAUGGACUGGUUGGAUCUCCUUGCAGUCCAAGGGACUCUCAAGAGUCUUCUCCAACAUCACAGUUCAAAAGCAUCAAUUCUUCGGUGCUCAGCCUUCUUCACAGUCCAACUCUCACAUCCAUACACCACUGGAAAAACCAUAGCCUUGACUAGACUCUUAAGACACAACAAUUUUACACUUCAAUAAAUACCCUAGAGAUAAUUUCACUCAGAACCAUAGACAAAGAGACAAGCAAGAAUGUUCAUAGCAGCCUUGUUUAUAAUUGCACAAAGUUGGAAGCAAAUCGAUUUUCAUCAUCUUGAAAACUGAUCAGUAAUAAUGGUAUAUUCACAUAACUAGGAGUGUUUUCAGCCAUGAAAAUGAAUAGACUUUAUGUCAGAUUAAUCUCUCAAAGAUAAUGUUGAAUGAUGAAAUAGAUUGUGAAGAUUUUAAAAACUGCCAGGCCAUGACACAUGUUUUUCCUAGAUAUAAACAUAUAUAGUCAAAAUUUCAAAAUCAUAUAAAGAAUUAAUAAAACCUUUCUAGACAGUUUAUUUUCAAGGAAAGGGGAGUACAAAAUGGAGUUCAAAUUUAUUAUAAGACUUUAUUAAAAUUUUUUGACUCAGAAUUUUAGGAAUUUCUAAUAAGUAAAUCUACACUGUGUUGGUAAUAUUUAGUCUCUAUAAUUUUCUUCAUGUAUAAAAUACUGCACAAUAAAAGUAUGUCAGAGUGUAUUAUCUGUGCGGACUUAAUGUUUCCACAGCAUGAGGCACAAGCAUCUGUUAUAACAGUACCACAUUCUGUUAAGAUUGUCUCCUUAGGACAUUAAGUUUAUCGCUUUAUGACAUUAGGACAUUAUUGACGCCACCAAUCUAGGACUGUUUCUUAUUCAGUUUUUAAUUUAUCGCCUCAAUAAUUGUUGGUGAAUGACUAUAACAACUUUAUUAUAAUAUUAGAAAUAAAGGUUGCAAAAUUACACAUAAAAUUAAUAGUAUACUGAUCAAUAUUACAGUAAAGAGAUUAUAAAACAUGUGUCUCUACAUAAAGGUUUUCUCCUUUCUCCAGCUCCUAUCUCAAUUAUAGGAUGUCAUUUUAUUACACUGACUUUUGCUGAUGGUAUGAGAGGACUUCACAAAAUACCAUGUAUCUGGUUCAGUUCAGUUCAGUCUUUCAGUCAUGUCCGACUCUUUGUGACCCCAUGAAUUGCAGCACACCAGGCCUCCCUGUCCAUCACCAACUCUCGGAGUUCACUCAGACUCAUGCCCAUCGAGUCAGUGAUGCCAUCCAGCCAUCUCAUCCUCAAUCGUGCCCUUCUCCUACUGCCCCUAAUCCCUCCCAGCAUCAGAGUCUUUUCCAAUGAGUCAACACUUUGCAUGAGGCGGCCAAAGUACUGGAGUUUCAGCUUUAGCAUCAUUCUCUUCAAAGAAAUCCCAGGGUUGAUCUCCUUCAGAAUGGACUGGUUGGAUCUCCUUGCAGUCCAAGGGACUCUCAAGAGUCUUCUCCAACAUCACAGUUCAAAAGCAUCAAUUCUUUGGCGCUCAGCCUUCUUCACACUCCAACUCUCACAUCCAUACAUGACCAAUGGAAAAACCAUAGCCUUGACUAGACAGACCUUUGUUGGCAAAGUAAUGUCUCUGCUUUUGAAUAUGCUAUCUAGGUUGGUCA